GAUGAACGCUGGCGGCGUGCCUACUACAUGAAAGUCGAGCGAACGGCCGAGAAGCUUGCUUCUCUGAUGUUAGCGGCGGACGGGUGAGUAACACGUGGAUAACCUAUCUUUAAGAGUGGGAUAACUUCGGGAAACCGUAGCUAUUACCGGACAUUAUUCUGACCCGCAUGGUUCAAAAGUGAAAGACGGUCUUGCUGUCACUUAUACAUGGAUCCGCGCUGCAUUAGCUAGUUGGUAAGGUAACGGCUUACCAAGGCAACGAUGCAUAGCCGACCUGAGAGGGUGAUCGGCCACACUGGAACUGAGACACGGUCCAGACUCCUACGGGAGGCAGCAGUAGGGAAUCUUCCGCAAAGGGCGAAAGCCUGACGGAGCAACGCCGCGUGAGUGAAGAAGGUCUUCGGAUCGUAAAACUCUGUUAUUAGGGAAGAACAUAUGUGUAAGUAACUGUGCACAUCUUGACGGUACCUAAUCAGAAAGCCACGGCUAACUACGUG
This 497-nucleotide ribosomal RNA is filed under the name uncultured bacterium. RNAcentral describes it as "partial 16S ribosomal RNA". It matches the Rfam family "Bacterial small subunit ribosomal RNA", at positions 28 to 507 of the family's 1533-position model. The record is from RNAcentral.